Molecule: long non-coding RNA, 273 nt
Filed under: Elaeis guineensis (African oil palm)
Lineage: Eukaryota; Viridiplantae; Streptophyta; Magnoliopsida; Arecales; Arecaceae
Description: long non-coding RNA (EGUI_LNC035657)
Source: RNAcentral
UUGCGCUCCUUCAAGAUUUAACUCAUGGAAAGAGAGAUAAAGAGAGGAUGGAGGAGCCAACAAUGCUUGGUUGCAUACGAAAGGAUGAGUCAUUGAGUGGAUGGAGAGGCAUGUAAGGGCAGCAGGAUAAAGGCACGAGAGAGAGGAGAACAAUGUACAUGAGAGAGAGUUGCAUGCAGAGGUGGAGGUGGAGGAAGGAAAGAAGCGAGAGGAGAAAGAAAGAAAUGGGAGAGAGAGAGAAAAAGCUAUGGGGUGAAAGAUCUUGGGCAUGUG